Cucurbita maxima (winter squash) is the source of this 1492-nucleotide RNA transcript. RefSeq lists it as uncharacterized. The record is from RefSeq and is a predicted model, not a curated record. NCBI's taxonomy places the organism in Eukaryota, Viridiplantae, Streptophyta, Magnoliopsida, Cucurbitales, Cucurbitaceae. The transcript is spliced from 6 exons.
AAUUUUUUUUUUUUUUCCUCCGGGCAGUGGUCGCUUCAGAUACCUCAGAUGGAGCCGGAGAUGGCGAAUGAGCCUUCUCCGAUGGCUUCAGCGUUUUGAUUUCUGUAGCUUUUGUUCAAUCUUUGAUUAGCGAGUUUUUCAUUGAAGUGGCAGUUCUGAAGUUCAGAAUUUCACUACAAUGGCGCCCCCAAUCACGUACUCUGCAAUCGACGACAAAGAUUUCGAUGAUGCGGCUUUGUGGGCUGUAAUCGACUCUGCUGCUGCUGCUGCGACUUCUUCCUCCUCCUCGUCUACAUCUCGUAAAUCUCUAGCACUUAAUUGCGUCAAUAAAUCAAACCCUUCCCCGCCGCCAAAAUUCCCAAAAAGCCCUAGAACUCCAUUCCAGGCGCAGAAAAAUUCCAGGGUUUUUGUAGAGGGUCAAGUGGUGCAUGAGCCUUGGGUGUUUCAACCUCCUCGGAAAAUUGCAAGGACAUGUGCAUCUGAAAUGAGUGAGAGAAGUCCUCUAGCGGUUGUCUGUAACAAUGCGCUACGGAAUCCGCCCGCGCCGGUAUAUUUGUCUCCCGAAGCGUAUUUGUCGCCGCAGAUUGCUUCUAGAUCUGAAGGCUCACCAGCUUUUAGUGGAAGUGGGCUGACCGAGGAAAGGGAAGUUGCAAGGCAUAGCCUCUCUGGGCAGUUCCCUUCAGUGUCUCUCUUUAAGGAGUAUCAAAAUGCGGCAAUGGCGAUUUUAGAGAAAUCGGACUUCACCAUGAUUGCUGGGAACCCUUUCAUAAAAAAAUCAGGAUGGAGGAAAAUAUCAUUUUAUUUCAAUCUCUCUUUUGAAAUCAAGGACAAGACAAUUGAAUUUGACGAUAACCGCAAUGUCCAGCGUGCUGAAUUUGUUGUUCGAGCAUAUAUGCAAGGUGGUAGAUUUUGUGAUGGAUGGGGCUCGUGUGAACGACGUGAGAAGAGAUUUAUAAAGCCAAAUCAUGAUAUUCCUAGCACAGCAGAAACGAGGGCAAAGAAUAAGGCAUGCCAAGACCUGCUUGGCAUUGGAGAGUAUCGACCUGGUGCAUCCCAGGGGCAAAAGUAAAGACUUGCCAGAUUGAUUCAGCCCACAAAAGUUCAAAGAAUGCAAGUUGUAACCAAGGUGAGAUCUCUCAAGGAACAACUGUAAUGGAGAAAACACCAUCUACCAAAGAGAAGUUCAUCAUGGAUUCUUGUAAUGUUGUAGGCACUUUCUUAUCUUUGUUUGGAGGAUCGUUUGGUUGUUGCGAAGUGAUGUUACUUUCUUGGAUGCCUGCUAUACAGCACUUUAUCAUUAUUCCUCGGUCGGUGCAGGCCAUUGGUUUAGUGAUACACUUGAGUUUUUCUGUUCGUGCUCGAGCUGGAUUUGUGGCCCAUUGUCUGAAAAGGAAAUUGGUUCUGCGGAUGAAGCAAUUAACUUACCAUAACGUGGGACCUUCAUAAAUGUUUCAUUAUCUUGGGAGCUGAAUUUUCCACAUUUUUGGAUGGA